ACCACGCUCACCUGCCAAGAGAGUGAGCGCCAGACCCCGCGUUCCCGGGGGUCCCCACCCCAACCCCAUCGCCCGACACUGGGGCCUGACGCUGGCUCAGCGGGCGUCCGCCAAGUCAGCGGCUCCUACACGGGAAACCUCCCGGACCGCUGCUAGCCUCCUGGACGCGGCUUUUGUCAAAUGGCUGCGGCCACUUUGUCACAACUGCACAUACAUUUUUGAGGAACUCUCCUUGGCUCUUCUAGGAACACAAAUACACGCCAUGUGGGAUCCACUGGCAUUUCUGCCACAUUUUCCAGUUACCGUCUCUGUUCUAUUUAUACCUCCCUGGCCUCGGGUGGGAGGUGGAAAUAACUGGAACCAUUAUGAAUAGCAAAGGGAAGACGGAGAGGUAACCUAAUAUUCUCCCUGUCCAUGGAAGAUUAAUUAUCUGGAGAGUCAUGCCUGGCUCUUGUUUCCCUGUGCUUAGAGCAAAAGACAGAGGAGUUUUAGCUGGUGCACAGAUGUGUGAGCCAAAAUAAGGAAUGAUUUCUGAUGUAUCUUGUAAAAAACGAUCCACCUGUCUGUAAACACACAAACACACCUGUACACAAACCCGUUUAGUGGACAUACAGUAGAAAGAGGCGUGGGAAAAGAUCACCUGAGCAGUCUCGGAUUUCGAUAAAUCUUCGUAUGCUGACGAAUAUGCACAGGCUAAACUGAUGACCACCUUCUCGCCUACACACUCCGCUUUUGAAACCCCAAAGGAUGGCAACAAUUUUCACAGAAGUGGCCCGAGAAGCGGUUCCUGUGCUAUUUCUGCCUUUUAAAUCUUUGCAGGUCAACUGGGCCAACCUUUCAGGACAACGGUCCUAUGGCAAAUGCUAAGAAUUCUUCAGCUGUCCAUAACCGUCUACUUGAGCGUCAGCUCCUUCUUGGACUGCUCCAGCCUCUGGGACCGGUCCACCACGAAGUAGAUGAGGUAGAUGCUCCCGGCCAGCGACAGCAGCACCAGGAUGUUGGCGACGACCCUCAGGCAGACGGUCACGGCCCUGGGGGAGAGGCAGCCCUCACCUCCUAAGAGAUCGACAGUGCGUCGCAAAUGCAACCGGCAUCAGCGAGGCUUUAAACAGACAAACAGCCACAGUGGGUUUAGCGCCCAGGUACCUGGGUUUCAGUUCUUUGCCACCUGUAACUGGAGUCCUGGAGACGGUGCAUUUAGGAUGCAGGAGUUCCAGUAACCGUCCAGCAGAGAGAGAGAGGGGGAGGGAGGGAGCAGAGAGGAUUGGGAGGGCGGACGAAAGAUUCUGCCCGUCACUCCAUAUAACGAGCCUGACCUCAUAGCAUGCAGAGUCACGAGCCACCUGACGAUGUUUUGGUCCACAACAGACCGCACAGGUGAUGGUGGUCCCAGAAGGUCACGAUGGAGCUGGAAGAUCUCUACUGCCUGGUGACAUUGCAACGCAACAAAUCACCUGUGCACUGCCGGCGACGCAGGUGUGAGCAAACCUACGUGUGCCAGUCGUGGGAGGUGACAGCACACACGAUUACAUGCAGUGCGUAAUACUCGGUAAUGAGGGGCUGUGCCACCGGGUUUUGUAUUUGCUAUACUUCUGAUCAUUAUGUUCGGGUGUACUCCUUGUAGCUACUUAAAAAAAUGUUAGCUGUAAAAGAGCCUCAGGCAGGACCGUCCCGUCGGGAGGCCUUGCAGAAGAAGGUAUUGUCAUCACAGAAGGUGGCACACACGACAGCUCCCGGUGUGUUACUGUCCCCGAGGUCCUUCCAGGGGGACAAGACGUGGAGGUGGAAGACAGUCAUAUUGACUGUCCGGACCCUGUGUGGGCCUAGACUAACGUGUGUGCUUGUGUCUUAGUUUUGAACAAAAAUUUUG
Non-coding RNA from Microcebus murinus (gray mouse lemur), 1870 nucleotides. NCBI's taxonomy places the organism in Eukaryota, Metazoa, Chordata, Mammalia, Primates, Cheirogaleidae. The record is from RefSeq and is a predicted model, not a curated record.